This 252-nucleotide unclassified non-coding RNA is filed under the name plant metagenome. Its description in RNAcentral is "partial contains small subunit ribosomal RNA, internal transcribed spacer 1, and 5.8S ribosomal RNA". The record is from RNAcentral.
UUUCCGUAGGUGAACCUGCGGAAGGAUCAUUAACAAAUCUAUUGGGUGCAGCAUUCCUCGCGACUGCAUGCUCACAUAAGCCCUAAAGCGCAGCACUUCGGUGUGACCGCUAUAGUGUGUUUGGAGGAGUCGAUUUUUUCGAUUCCGCCACAGGUCAUUCUUCUGGGUAACCACAUUGACGCUUGUAUGUUUGACAGAUUUUAUUAUGAAAAUAAAAAAAGACAACUUUUAACAAUGGAUCUCUUGGCUCUC